RNAcentral lists this ribosomal RNA (275 nucleotides) under uncultured bacterium. RNAcentral describes it as "partial 16S ribosomal RNA". It matches the Rfam family "Bacterial small subunit ribosomal RNA", at positions 338 to 630 of the family's 1533-position model. The record is from RNAcentral.
CCUACGGGGGGCUGCAGUGGGGAAUAUUGGACAAUGGGCGCAAGCCUGAUCCAGCCAUGCCGCGUGAGUGAUGAAGGCCUUCGGGUUGUAAAGCUCUUUUGUCCGGGAAGAUAAUGACUGUACCGGAAGAAUAAGCCCCGGCAAACUUCGUGCCAGCAGCCGCGGUAAUACGAAGGGGGCUAGCGUUGUUCGGAAUCACUGGGCGUAAAGCGCACGUAGGCGGCUUGUUAAGUCAGAGGUGAAAGCCUGGAGCUCAACUCCAGAACUGCCUUUGA